Molecule: transfer RNA, 68 nt
Filed under: Polyphaga plancyi
Lineage: Eukaryota; Metazoa; Arthropoda; Insecta; Blattodea; Corydiidae
Description: tRNA-Pro
Source: RNAcentral
CAGAGGAUAGUUUAUGUAAAAUAUUAAUUUUGGGGAUUAAUGAUGAGUAUUAUUUUUCUUUUCUCUGA